Long non-coding RNA from Thalassophryne amazonica, 301 nucleotides. RefSeq lists it as uncharacterized. NCBI's taxonomy places the organism in Eukaryota, Metazoa, Chordata, Actinopteri, Batrachoidiformes, Batrachoididae. The transcript has 2 exons. The record is from RefSeq and is a predicted model, not a curated record.
GGUUCAGGCUGCUGUAUCUUGUAGAAGUCAUUUUCUAUAAGGUACUUUCAAUGCAGGAACCUGAACUCACAGGUACUUUAGAGCAAAGAAAACAGAACAGCAAGAUGAGUCAAACCGAGCAGAAUUGGGAACCAGAAGACGGCAAGGAAAUAAAAGACAAGCCAUCGAAAGUCCAAGCUCAAACCAAAAUGGAGACGAAUAAUGGACAACGUCAAGCGGCAUUUCAAGCAUUUGAAGAGAUUGAACAACUUUGGGAGGUGGCACAAAGUGAGAUAAAUGAAAAUGCAUACCUUAAAGAAAA